This 468-nucleotide ribosomal RNA is filed under the name uncultured bacterium. RNAcentral describes it as "bacterial SSU rRNA". It matches the Rfam family "Bacterial small subunit ribosomal RNA", at positions 51 to 513 of the family's 1533-position model. The record is from RNAcentral.
ACACAUGCAAGUCGAGCGGAGAUGAGGUGCUUGCACCUUAUCUUAGCGGCGGACGGGUGAGUAAUGCUUAGGAAUCUGCCUAUUAGUGGGGGACAACAUUCCGAAAGGAAUGCUAAUACCGCAUACGUCCUACGGGAGAAAGCAGGGGAUCUUCGGACCUUGCGCUAAUAGAUGAGCCUAAGUCGGAUUAGCUAGUUGGUGGGGUAAAGGCCUACCAAGGCGACGAUCUGUAGCGGGUCUGAGAGGAUGAUCCGCCACACUGGGACUGAGACACGGCCCAGACUCCUACGGGAGGCAGCAGUGGGGAAUAUUGGACAAUGGGGGGAACCCUGAUCCAGCCAUGCCGCGUGUGUGAAGAAGGCCUUAUGGUUGUAAAGCACUUUAAGCGAGGAGGAGGCUACUGAGACUAAUACUCUUGGAUAGUGGACGUUACUCGCAGAAUAAGCACCGGCUAACUCUGUGCCAGCA